UAGAGUUUGAUCCUGGCUCAGGACGAACGCUGGCGGCGUGCUUAACACAUGCAAGUCGAACGGAAAGGCCCUUUCGGGGGUACUCGAGUGGCGAACGGGUGAGUAACACGUGGGUGAUCUGCCCUGCACUUUGGGAUAAGCCUGGGAAACUGGGUCUAAUACCGAAUACACCCUGCUGGUCGCAUGGCCUGGUAGGGGAAAGCUUUUGCGGUGUGGGAUGGGCCCGCGGCCUAUCAGCUUGUUGGUGGGGUGAUGGCCUACCAAGGCGACGACGGGUAGCCGGCCUGAGAGGGUGACCGGCCACACUGGGACUGAGAUACGGCCCAGACUCCUACGGGAGGCAGCAGUGGGGAAUAUUGCACAAUGGGCGCAAGCCUGAUGCAGCGACGCCGCGUGAGGGAUGACGGCCUUCGGGUUGUAAACCUCUUUCAGCACAGACGAAGCGCAAGUGACGGUAUGUGCAGAAGAAGGACCGGCCAACUACGUGCCAGCAGCCGCGGUAAUACGUAGGGUCCGAGCGUUGUCCGGAAUUACUGGGCGUAAAGAGCUCGUAGGUGGUUUGUCGCGUUGUUCGUGAAAACUCACAGCUUAACUGUGGGCGUGCGGGCGAUACGGGCAGACUAGAGUACUGCAGGGGAGACUGGAAUUCCUGGUGUAGCGGUGGAAUGCGCAGAUAUCAGGAGGAACACCGGUGGCGAAGGCGGGUCUCUGGGCAGUAACUGACGCUGAGGAGCGAAAGCGUGGGGAGCGAACAGGAUUAGAUACCCUGGUAGUCCACGCCGUAAACGGUGGGUACUAGGUGUGGGUUUCCUUCCUUGGGAUCCGUGCCGUAGCUAACGCAUUAAGUACCCCGCCUGGGGAGUACGGCCGCAAGGCUAAAACUCAAAGGAAUUGACGGGGGCCCGCACAAGCGGCGGAGCAUGUGGAUUAAUUCGAUGCAACGCGAAGAACCUUACCUGGGUUUGACAUGCACAGGACGCCGGCAGAGAUGUCGGUUCCCUUGUGGCCUGUGUGCAGGUGGUGCAUGGCUGUCGUCAGCUCGUGUCGUGAGAUGUUGGGUUAAGUCCCGCAACGAGCGCAACCCUUGUCUCAUGUUGCCAGCACGUUAUGGUGGGGACUCGUGAGAGACUGCCGGGGUCAACUCGGAGGAAGGUGGGGAUGACGUCAAGUCAUCAUGCCCCUUAUGUCCAGGGCUUCACACAUGCUACAAUGGCCGGUACAAAGGGCUGCGAUGCCGUGAGGUGGAGCGAAUCCUUUCAAAGCCGGUCUCAGUUCGGAUCGGGGUCUGCAACUCGACCCCGUGAAGUCGGAGUCGCUAGUAAUCGCAGAUCAGCAACGCUGCGGUGAAUACGUUCCCGGGCCUUGUACACACCGCCCGUCACGUCAUGAAAGUCGGUAACACCCGAAGCCGGUGGCCUAACCCUUGUGGAGGGAGCCGUCGAAGGUGGGAUCGGCGAUUGGGACGAAGUCGUAACAAGGUAGCCGUA
Molecule: ribosomal RNA, 1487 nt
Filed under: Mycolicibacterium smegmatis
Lineage: Bacteria; Bacillati; Actinomycetota; Actinomycetes; Mycobacteriales; Mycobacteriaceae
Description: 16S ribosomal RNA
Rfam family: Bacterial small subunit ribosomal RNA
Source: RNAcentral